Molecule: transfer RNA, 73 nt
Filed under: Cellulomonas hominis
Lineage: Bacteria; Bacillati; Actinomycetota; Actinomycetes; Micrococcales; Cellulomonadaceae
Description: tRNA-Ala
Source: RNAcentral
GGGGGGCCAUGUCCUUGGUGGCGACUGAUCCUUGCAAGAUCGGUGCGGCGGGUUCGAUCCCCGUGCUCUCCAC